Long non-coding RNA from Pseudopipra pipra, 1544 nucleotides. RefSeq lists it as uncharacterized. The transcript is spliced from 3 exons. The record is from RefSeq and is a predicted model, not a curated record. Lineage: Eukaryota; Metazoa; Chordata; Aves; Passeriformes; Pipridae.
AGAGGGCUGGAGCAGCUCUGCUAGGAGGAAAGGCUGGGAGAGUUGGGAUUGUUCAGCCUGGAGAGGAGAAGGAUCCAAGGGGACCUCAGAGCCCUUUCCAGGGCCUAAAGGGGCUCCAAGAAAGCUGGAGAGGGACUUUGCAUAAGGACCUGGAGUGCCAGGACAAGGGGGAAUGGCUUCCCACUGCCAGAGGGCAGGGUUAGAUGGGAUAUUGGGAUGAAAUUGUUCCCUGUGAGGGUGGGGAGGCCCUGGCACAGGUUGCCCAGAGAAGCUGUGGCUGCCCCUGGAUCCCUGGAAGUGCCCAAGGGCAUUUUGGACGGGGCUUGGAGCAACCUGGGCUGGUGGAAAGUGUGGAAUGAGAUGGUCUUUAAGGUCCCUUCCAACCAUGACUCCAGGAUAACUUUCACUUUGCCAUUCUCCUAGAAACUUUCCUCACGAGACAAACACACAGGUUGGGGCUACAAGCGACCUUCUUGCUGUCCAGUGAAGAGGUGUUGCAGGGAGGACUUUCACUGCAGCUCCUGUCCACGGAGACCUGUGUGGAAACCAGCCUGAGUGAAAGCCAGCACAGGACAGAGUCUCUCCAGAACAGGGGAAGAGUUUUCCAGUCUCAAAGAUCUAAAGGUUUUUGGCCAGAGUUCAAGAUGGGAUCCUGGGUUCAGGGAGUUUGCUCCAGUACAGGCAUUUUCAUGUUCUCCUGCCACAGGAAAUCAGAGACAUUCCCUUGUGAAGAUGGAUGUGAUGAGGAAGGUCUGCCAUUAAAAAGCUCCAACGCUCCCUGCACAGACAUGUUUCUAAAGGUGUAAAGAGUUGCUCACCAGGCUGGAGGGAUCACAGGAAAUCCUGCAGUGGGGAUCCUGCUGCAGUGGGUGCCUCAGCCUGCCUGGGCUGGAGCUGUAGGAGGAAAUGCACAGUGUCAUCUUGGUGUAGAUGGAUUUUAGGCAGUGCCACCUGAGGCUGCCCUGCUGAGACAAAUUCUGCUUCCAGAGGUGCAGGUUGAGCCUCAGGGGGUGUUGUAUGGAUGCACCUCCUGAAGUGGAGAGGUGUGCUGACAGCAAAGCAGGAGCAUCCAGGUUUCCUCCAAGGGACUUGUACCUUGCCAGCAGUGAGCGUGAGGCUUGAGGCUGGAUGGAACAAACCUGCUGCCUCUCCUGCUCCUGCCUCUCCAGGUGACUCCAGGGCACAGCUCUGGGUCACAGCAUGCUCUUCAUGCCAUCUUCCUGGCCAGCUCCAUCCUGAACUCUCCAGGGCUGUGCUCAUCUCCACCACAGGUUGCUUCUCUCAGCAUUGGAGACAUCUCUUGGUGGGAAGAGAGGAGGAAGAGCAACUCUUACAAGGAAUCAUGGAUUUCUCCAGGAGCCCUUGCAGGAUCACUGGGGACAGCCUCCCUAGCCCCUGUGUUUUCCACUGAGGGGAGUCUUGGCUUGUUUUUCUCCACUUUUCAACUACACAUCCACCUUUGUUUGCUCCAUGAAGCCUCCUUGGCCAAACAAAUAUCUUUAUUAAUACUUGUCAGCAAAAAUAUAAACAGAUACUGAGUUACA